RNAcentral lists this ribosomal RNA (492 nucleotides) under uncultured bacterium. Its description in RNAcentral is "partial 16S ribosomal RNA". It matches the Rfam family "Bacterial small subunit ribosomal RNA", at positions 28 to 507 of the family's 1533-position model. The record is from RNAcentral.
GAUGAACGCUAGCUACAGGCUUAACACAUGCAAGUCGAGGGGAAACGACAUCGAAAGCUUGCUUUUGAUGGGCGUCGACCGGCGCACGGGUGAGUAACGCGUAUCCAACCUGCCCAUCACUUGGGAAUAACCUUGCGAAAGUAAGACUAAUACCCAAUGAUAUCCCACGAAGGCAUCGGAAUGGGAUUAAAGAUUUAUCGGUGAUGGAUGGGGAUGCGUCUGAUUAGCUUGUUGGCGGGGUAACGGCCCACCAAGGCAACGAUCAGUAGGGGUUCUGAGAGGAAGGUCCCCCACAUUGGAACUGAGACACGGUCCAAACUCCUACGGGAGGCAGCAGUGAGGAAUAUUGAUCAAUGGGCGAGAGCCUGAACUAGCCAAGUAGCGUGCAGGAAGACGGCCCUAUGGGUUGUAAACUGCUUUUAUAAGGGAAUAAAGUGGGUCACGUGUGACUUUUUGCAUGUACCUUAUGAAUAAGGACCGGCUAAUUCCGUG